RNAcentral lists this ribosomal RNA (468 nucleotides) under uncultured bacterium. RNAcentral's name for it is "partial 16S ribosomal RNA". It matches the Rfam family "Bacterial small subunit ribosomal RNA", at positions 28 to 507 of the family's 1533-position model. The record is from RNAcentral.
GAUGAACGCUGGCGGCGUGCUUAACACAUGCAAGUCGAACGGAAAGGCCCAAGCUUGCUUGGGUACUCGAGUGGCGAACGGGUGAGUAACACGUGGGUGAUCUGCCCUGCACUUCGGGAUAAGCCUGGGAAACUGGGUCUAAUACCGGAUAGGACGAUGGUUUGGAUGCCAUUGUGGAAAGUUUUUUCGGUGGGGGAUGAGCUCGCGGCCUAUCAGCUUGUUGGUGGGGUAAUGGCCUACCAAGGCGUCGACGGGUAGCCGGCCUGAGAGGGUGUACGGCCACAUUGGGACUGAGAUACGGCCCAGACUCCUACGGGAGGCAGCAGUGGGGAAUAUUGCACAAUGGGCGCAAGCCUGAUGCAGCGACGCCGCGUGGGGGAUGACGGCCUUCGGGUUGUAAACUCCUUUCGCUAGGGACGAAGCGUUUUUGUGACGGUACCUGGAGAAGAAGCACCGGCUAACUACGUG